CCCCCUCCGCCCUCUGAGGCGAUGCCCGGCACGAAGGGAAGGCCGAGGCCGCAGGGAGACGGGCACCGCGGGUCAGGAUCAGGGGACACGGCGCCAGGAGGAGGCAGGACCCCCGGGAGGGCUGCGGAGGGGCAGGAGGCGGCUGCUCGUGUCCGCGGCAGGCGCUGUGGGAGCGGCAGGCGGACGCACCGCGGACACCCUUUAAAAACCCUUUUCCAAACCGACCCCACAGAACCGCAGGCAUCUAAAUUUUCUCCCGUACUGUUUUAAAGCCACGGGUGGCAGUGAAAUUGUAAGCAGGAGCCUGAACCAGCCUAAACGCAGAGCAGAGCCAAGACCUCCACGCAGCAAGAGAUGGCUGAAGGGCAACCACGGUACACGCCGAGGUCUGCUCAUCGCUUGCGCAGGCAUGGCACAGGCAAGGCUGACAGCAGUGCCCGCAGCCGGCACCAUGCUAGAGGUCAAACCACCCCUUGGCCCACCUUCCUUAGCAGCUGGGUUCGUGAGUUCUCUUCCUUUUUGUGCUGCACGUAUUAUCUGUUAGCAUAUUAAAUGUAUUAUAUUUAAUGAUUACAUACAUCUAGCUCUAAAUGUUACUGCCACCUAUAUUUUUUCGGCAAGUUUAAUGUUUACCAAGAGAGAAGGGGUUAGUAUUGUGCCAGGAGUACAAGGUAUAGACAUGGUCAGGUACAGACUGACUCUUAAAAUGGAGGGCUGAUUCAACACUGAACUAGUAUUGCUGGGGAAGGUUAAGUGCACUCAGACCCAUCCUGUUCUCCAACUUCUCUUGACCAGUAUUACAUUGUGUUUCAGAUGAGCAGUCAGUGUGGUUCUGUAUUAUUAAAUCCAGUUUGUUUCUUAACUUUAUUUUUAAAUGACUGGCCAUCUGAAACUCAUAAUCUGAAAAUCUUCUAACCUUAAGCAAAAAAUACGAUGACUAGAUUGCUGAAGGUCAAUCUGGGAGUACAGAAAGUGGACCCUAAUAUUCUACAUAGUAACAAUACCAUGUAAUUUAGUUUUGUGAUUAUGCUAUUUUUCAUGCAGCUAUUACGUGUACGUGCAUGCACAUAAGACAGUGAAUGAGACACCUGCAUUUUGAGCUCUUCCAUGCUUCUCUUCAACUAAAUGCAAUUUCGUGCACAAAUCUUCAUUCUGAAAAGUCUCAAACUCAUCAGAAUGUAGCAAAAUACACCCAGAAUUCAACAUAUGGCAAUGAAGAAAUAACUAUUUCUUUUGCUUCCCUCAGCCCAAACAUUUACUUUCCAAGCCGUGAGCAUGGGAUGAUUCCUUGGAGAAGGAUGGAUAUAAAAUAUACAAUACUUACCUGAAGCAGGCAGAGAGCCUUGAGGGAAAUACAAAACACUUUGCAGUGCAAUAGAUAACAUCAGAAAUGUGGCUUCCCCUUACCUGGGGUUCCAGUCAGGCAAAGGGUAUUUUUCUCCCCCAUCCUUCCACCAGCUGAACAACACACUGAGAAUACAGAUACUGUCACAAGGAAACAUGAGGAUGUUCAGCCUGACUUUACUCCUAGUAAUUAAUUUUUUAAGGUCCAGUAAGAGUAGUUCAAGUCUUGUUUUCAUUUCUAUUAAAAGUAUCUGAUAGAAACAACCAAGAAUAAAAUUUCUCACUAAUAAGAAUGGGUUAGAUCCCUUGUGUUUAUGCUUAAAAUGGGCAGUGCAGUUGUGUGCAGGAAGAAAGCUAACAGUAGAAGUUGUACUUUCUAGUACAGCUUAGAAGUUUAGGUUUUGUUUUGAUUACAACCUUUGCCUUUCGCCAUUUGUUCUGUCUGACCUUUCUUGCAGUUGGAAAUUACUGGGGGAAAUGCUAGGCUCUUUCAUCCUUAAGUUGUAGGAGAGAGUGGCAAGUGUCUUGUUAAAAUGGAUUAUGUCAUCCAUGGAUUCCUCUGCUGGAAAACCUUUCAGAUGAUGGUAUAAGUCUUGACAGGAAGAAGUGUAUGGAUAUUUAAUUUUCAAAUAAUCUUGGAAUAACAAAGGAACAUUUACAAUGUUCUGCAUCCUGUCCAAAUUAAAUGAUUUAGUGUUAUCAUUGUGAGAUAUAUAUAUAUAUACACACACACACAAUAUCACAUAGCCCUGAUGAGUAUAUGCUGGCUAAAAAUUGUUUCCUCCUAAAUACGUAUUAUGAGGAAGAUACUUCCUCUAUUCUCCUAAAUGGCAAUUUCUUUUUUUAAGCAAAAAGCAGCCCUGACUCCAAUUGAAAUGGGAUCCAGAUUUUUAGUAACAUAACUGUAAAGAAGAAAAAAAAUCAUCUGCAAAAUCAUUGCAAAGCAGUGCAAUAACCUGUUUUCUGAAGACUGAGAAUUUAGACCUUACUGCUCAAAAAUAUUCAAUACAAGGGACUUGAAAUGAGCUCUUUCAGGGAACUCAAUCACAACACUGCUUCACAUGGACUGCUGCUAAUGUAAAUGUUCAUCAUCAUCUCAUUUAAAUAACAAUGCACAAGUCAGGAAUUUGAAAGGGGUGGGGAGAAGAGUGAAAGGAUGCAAGUCUGGAAAGGGAACCAGUGUGUUAAUUCCUCAUAUUCAGGUUUUCUUCCAUCAGAUCUCCUAAUGAUGAGAUGUUUCUCUCAAAGUAUCAGUAUCAGUUUUUAAUACACAAUACAAAGCCUGAUCCAGAAUCAUCUGAGGUUAAUGAAUCCAAUGUGAAUUACUUGAUCAAGAUAAAUGACUUUACUGCAAGCUACUUCUGCUUACCGAGAUUACUAAUAGCAUGCCACUUCAAAGUACUAAUAAUAUAAAAUAACUUAUCUGAAAGUUUCUAAAGUUUGUAGAACAGUAGUGUAAUCUACUGUAAUCCUACUAAAGUUUAAAAAAAAUUCAAUGUUGAUUUCUUGGGCAAUAUCCAAGUGUUCUCCCUAGUUUGUACUUUUUUCUGAAGGUGUGCGAGGAAUUAUUCCAGAAUUCAAUUUGCUUUGAAAGGCUAGCAUUCACAUUCCAUAAGGAAAGAAACAAGAAGACUUAAGGAAAGCUAGAAACACUGAAGGGAGGAGUUUGCAAAGGAAUGCCGGAUCACUUUAUGGAGAUCAAACUCAGUUAAAAUUCAAUCAUCUCUAACACUGGAACAGAAAGCUUGAAAACCCCACUGACGAACACAUAGACCAUAAAGCAGCAGCAUCUAUAAGUGACAAAAAAGAUUCUCAAUCAUCUAAAAAUACUUGCUUUCCAGUCUGGCCUUCUGUGAGAGACAUCUAAUCAAAGUCUGCCCCCUUGUUACUUGAUACAUGAGAAGAAAUAAAUGCAUUGAUUUUGACUAAG
This is a long non-coding RNA of Strigops habroptila (Kakapo), 3274 nucleotides long. RefSeq lists it as uncharacterized. NCBI's taxonomy places the organism in Eukaryota, Metazoa, Chordata, Aves, Psittaciformes, Psittacidae. The record is from RefSeq and is a predicted model, not a curated record. The transcript is spliced from 4 exons.